UAAUUUGAGAGUUUGAUCCUGGCUCAGGACGAACGCUGGCGGCGUGCCUAAUACAUGCAAGUCGAACGAACUCUGGUAUUGAUUGGUGCUUGCAUCAUGAUUUACAUUUGAGUGAGUGGCGAACUGGUGAGUAACACGUGGGAAACCUGCCCAGAAGCGGGGGAUAACACCUGGAAACAGAUGCUAAUACCGCAUAACAACUUGGACCGCAUGGUCCGAGUUUGAAAGAUGGCUUCGGCUAUCACUUUUGGAUGGUCCCGCGGCGUAUUAGCUAGAUGGUGAGGUAACGGCUCACCAUGGCAAUGAUACGUAGCCGACCUGAGAGGGUAAUCGGCCACAUUGGGACUGAGACACGGCCCAAACUCCUACGGGAGGCAGCAGUAGGGAAUCUUCCACAAUGGACGAAAGUCUGAUGGAGCAACGCCGCGUGAGUGAAGAAGGGUUUCGGCUCGUAAAACUCUGUUGUUAAAGAAGAACAUAUCUGAGAGUAACUGUUCAGGUAUUGACGGUAUUUAACCAGAAAGCCACGGCUAACUACGUGCCAGCAGCCGCGGUAAUACGUAGGUGGCAAGCGUUGUCCGGAUUUAUUGGGCGUAAAGCGAGCGCAGGCGGUUUUUUAAGUCUGAUGUGAAAGCCUUCGGCUCAACCGAAGAAGUGCAUCGGAAACUGGGAAACUUGAGUGCAGAAGAGGACAGUGGAACUCCAUGUGUAGCGGUGAAAUGCGUAGAUAUAUGGAAGAACACCAGUGGCGAAGGCGGCUGUCUGGUCUGUAACUGACGCUGAGGCUCGAAAGUAUGGGUAGCAAACAGGAUUAGAUACCCUGGUAGUCCAUACCGUAAACGAUGAAUGCUAAGUGUUGGAGGGUUUCCGCCCUUCAGUGCUGCAGCUAACGCAUUAAGCAUUCCGCCUGGGGAGUACGGCCGCAAGGCUGAAACUCAAAGGAAUUGACGGGGGCCCGCACAAGCGGUGGAGCAUGUGGUUUAAUUCGAAGCUACGCGAAGAACCUUACCAGGUCUUGACAUACUAUGCAAAUCUAAGAGAUUAGACGUUCCCUUCGGGGACAUGGAUACAGGUGGUGCAUGGUUGUCGUCAGCUCGUGUCGUGAGAUGUUGGGUUAAGUCCCGCAACGAGCGCAACCCUUAUUAUCAGUUGCCAGCAUUAAGUUGGGCACUCUGGUGAGACUGCCGGUGACAAACCGGAGGAAGGUGGGGAUGACGUCAAAUCAUCAUGCCCCUUAUGACCUGGGCUACACACGUGCUACAAUGGAUGGUACAACGAGUUGCGAACUCGCGAGAGUAAGCUAAUCUCUUAAAGCCAUUCUAAGUUCGGAUUGUAGGCUGCAACUCGCCUACAUGAAGUCGGAAUCGCUAGUAAUCGCGGAUCAGCAUGCCGCGGUGAAUACGUUCCCGGGCCUUGUACACACCGCCCGUCACACCAUGAGAGUUUGUAACACCCAAAGUCGGUGGGGUAACCUUUUAGGAACCAGCCGCCUAAGGUGGGACAGAUGAUUAGGGUGAAGUCGUAACAAGGUAGCCGUAGGAGAACCUGCGGCUGGAUCACCUCCUUU
RNAcentral lists this ribosomal RNA (1567 nucleotides) under Lactiplantibacillus plantarum. Its description in RNAcentral is "16S ribosomal RNA". It matches the Rfam family "Bacterial small subunit ribosomal RNA". The record is from RNAcentral. Lineage: Bacteria; Bacillati; Bacillota; Bacilli; Lactobacillales; Lactobacillaceae.